GCUAGUUGUAGGAAAGCAUGUAACCUGCCCCAGCACCUGAGCCAGUGGCCCCAAGAGCAGUGGGUUUAAUUGGCUCCAUCCACCACCCAAUGUUGACCCCACCCCUGAUUUCUCUCUGACUGGCUUUCAACUCCCAUGAGAAUAGACACAGGUUUACCUAGUAAGUCCAACCUAUGUCCUAGUCAAGGUGGUGUUUGGGUCAGUGUGACAAAUUCACCCUAUAUAGCAUCUUACUCAUUGUUAAGUGUGACUUUCUGAAAAGACCUCCCCAAUGGAGCACCCCCUAAAAACCCUCAUGUCAAUGUCACAGCUGUAUCCACAACAUCCCUCCCUCUCAGCGGGGUCUUCUGGGCCAAGCAGGACUGCAGAGCUCUGAAGAGGAUCUGCCCAAUGUCUUCUUGGCUGGGGACACUACAAAAUGGUUUGGAAGCACCUGUGGUCCCUUCAGGUACCUUCCACUGACUCGGCCUUACGCAGACCAAGCCCAGGGCCGACCACAGUCUCUCAGAGAGCAGCAGGCUGUGUGGAGGUCAAGGUCAUGACCUUGACCUGCGUAGGAGAGGCUUCCCACACCUGAGCUUCCAGGUGAAGGCUCCUUUCUCAACACCCACCCCUUCCACGCAGCCACCUCCUUCCAGUCCUCAGUGCAGCCCUCCUCCUCCUCUUCACAGUAGAAAUCCCACCCCUCUACACCGAAGGUUGCUCUCCUGCAUCCUUCAAACUCUAUUGCCUCUGCCUUCAGCAAGAUGCCCUCUCAUUGGCUCUCAAGCAGGUGGGAAGAUUUGGGAAGGGGGUGUCCCUGGGGGCAGCACAGUGCCUGGGGCCCAGGGAUGCCAAACACCCAGCAGUGGUCAGAAGAGUCCUGAUUACCCGAGAUACAAAUAGUCUCAGUGAGGACCAUUCAGGGGCUGAGAGUGUGAGCAGAGACAAGCCUAGGCCCAGGUUGGUCCCACCCUGAGGCACAGCCAGGGUGCUCACUGCUUUGUCCAACAUGAGCACUAACUGAACAUUAAUUUUCCUUAGAGAAAUGUAAUCUGUUUCCUCUGAAUAAAGCUUAUUCCUCC
RNAcentral lists this long non-coding RNA (1064 nucleotides) under Marmota monax (woodchuck). The record is from RNAcentral. Lineage: Eukaryota; Metazoa; Chordata; Mammalia; Rodentia; Sciuridae.